Molecule: transfer RNA, 72 nt
Filed under: Bos taurus (domestic cattle)
Lineage: Eukaryota; Metazoa; Chordata; Mammalia; Artiodactyla; Bovidae
Rfam family: tRNA
About the family: Transfer RNA (tRNA) molecules are approximately 80 nucleotides in length. Their secondary structure includes four short double-helical elements and three loops (D, anti-codon, and T loops). Further hydrogen bonds mediate the characteristic L-shaped molecular structure. tRNAs have two regions of fundamental functional importance: the anti-codon, which is responsible for specific mRNA codon recognition, and the 3' end, to which the tRNAs corresponding amino acid is attached (by aminoacyl-tRNA synthetases). tRNAs cope with the degeneracy of the genetic code in two manners: having more than one tRNA (with a specific anti-codon) for a particular amino acid; and 'wobble' base-pairing, i.e. permitting non-standard base-pairing at the 3rd anti-codon position.
Source: Rfam by way of RNAcentral
UCCCUUGUAGUUCAGUUGGUGAAGAAUCUGCCUGCAGUGCAGGAAAUGCAGGUUUGAUCCCUGGCUUGGGAA